This 382-nucleotide ribosomal RNA is filed under the name uncultured soil bacterium. RNAcentral describes it as "bacterial SSU rRNA". It matches the Rfam family "Bacterial small subunit ribosomal RNA", at positions 26 to 438 of the family's 1533-position model. The record is from RNAcentral.
AGAACGAACGCUGGCGGCAGGCCUAACACAUGCAAGUCGAACGCCGUAGCAAUACGGAGUGGCAGACGGGUGAGUAACGCGUGGGAACGUACCCUUUGGUUCGGAACAACUCCGGGAAACUGGAGCUAAUACCGGAUAAGCCCUACGGGGGAAAGAUUUAUCGCCGAAGGAUCGGCCCGCGUCGGAUUAGCUAGUUGGUGGGGUAAUGGCCUACCAAGGCAACGAUCCGUAGCUGGUCUGAGAGGAUGAUCAGCCACACUGGGACUGAGACACGGCCCAGACUCCUACGGGAGGCAGCAGUGGGGAAUAUUGGACAAUGGGCGCAAGCCUGAUCCAGCCAUGCCGCGUGAGUGAUGAAGCCCUAGGGUUUAGACGUCUUCGU